AUCCGCAAUACCAUAAUUUCAUUAAAUAACAUCAUAACAAAUAUUUAUACACAAGCAAAAGGCUAAAAUUAUACAAAUAUCCAUAACAAGGUGGAAGCCAACACAAUGCAUAUUGUGUCAUGCUCCAUCAGUAAUUUUAGUUUAUGAAUAUCAAUGCAUAAUAGAACCUAUAUUUGUUUCUAUUACACUUCUAACAUGGCCUCUGCCCGAAUCCACAAUUUACAGGGUGUGAUAUUCAAAUUU
RNAcentral lists this long non-coding RNA (243 nucleotides) under Daucus carota (carrot). RNAcentral describes it as "long non-coding RNA (DCAR_LNC001367)". Lineage: Eukaryota; Viridiplantae; Streptophyta; Magnoliopsida; Apiales; Apiaceae. The record is from RNAcentral.